Molecule: ribosomal RNA, 468 nt
Filed under: uncultured bacterium
Lineage: Bacteria
Description: partial 16S ribosomal RNA
Rfam family: Bacterial small subunit ribosomal RNA
Source: RNAcentral
GACGAACGCUGGCGGCGCGCCUAACACAUGCAAGUCGAACGGAGUCAAGAGGAGCUUGCUUUUCUUGACUUAGUGGCGAACGGGUGAGUAACGCGUGAGUAACCUGCCCUGGAGUGGGGGACAACAGUUGGAAACGACUGCUAAUACCGCAUAAGCCCACGGAUCUGCAUGGAUCUGCGGGAAAAGGAUUUAUUCGCUCUAGGAUGGACUCGCGUCCAAUUAGCUAGUUGGUGAGGUAACGGCCCACCAAGGCGACGAUUGGUAGCCGGACUGAGAGGUUGAACGGCCACAUUGGGACUGAGACACGGCCCAGACUCCUACGGGGGGCAGCAGUGGGGGAUAUUGCACAAUGGGGGAAACCCUGAUGCAGCGACGCCGCGUGGAGGAAGAAGGUUUUCGGAUUGUAAACUCCUGUCGUUAGGGACGAUAAUGACGGUACCUAACAAGAAAGCACCGGCUAACUACGUG